CACGUAGGCGGAUCUUUAAGUCAGAGGUGAAAUCCCAAGGCUCAACCUUGGAACUGCCUUUGAUACUGGGGAUCUAGAGUCCGGGAGAGGUGAGUGGAACUGCGAGUGUAGAGGUGAAAUUCGUAGAUAUUCGCAAGAACACCAGUGGCGAAGGCGGCUCACUGGCCCGGUACUGACGCUGAGGUGCGAAAGCGUGGGGAGCAAACA
Molecule: ribosomal RNA, 207 nt
Filed under: uncultured bacterium
Lineage: Bacteria
Description: partial 16S ribosomal RNA
Rfam family: Bacterial small subunit ribosomal RNA
Source: RNAcentral